Molecule: non-coding RNA, 797 nt
Organism: Chrysemys picta bellii (western painted turtle)
Lineage: Eukaryota; Metazoa; Chordata; Testudines; Emydidae
Source: RefSeq, a predicted model, not a curated record
AGCUGGGGCUGGGGCAGUCCGGAGCCGUGUGCAGUCCGAGUGCGUGCUUGGGGGAUGGAUUCCGCUGGUGUGAUUCGACUUGAUGUUAUGCAGCGUGGCGCUGAAAUAAGACUGCUGCUCUCAGACUUCAGACCUCCAAGUAUCAUUUAACAGGUUACUGCCCACCUUGCAUAUCUGUCCUGAAGAGCCUAUCGCAACAUUCACAAAAAGUGGAAAGGUUCACUCAUGGGUCCGUGCCUAAGCAGUGGCAGUAUUUUUGUCAUUGGGUGAUGACCCGUUUCAGUUACUCAGUGUAUCUGUACUUCAUCAGCAACCUCCAUUACACAAUAAAACCAUGCAGUUAAAACCAGGGUCUUGCCUUCCAUAUGAAAUACGUGCACACACGUUGGCCGUGCUGGCAUUCCGUGCACAGGACAGACUCAGUCUCCCAAGCCAGAGCUGCCAAUGCACGCAAUAGGCUCUUCCCAGGGCCUUGCAGGCACAGUGGCCAGCCCACUUUCGGGAAGGCAGAGUACUGUCCAAUAAUCGAAAAAUUACAAGCUGCCACUUUAAAUCUCAGGGGGUUUCCUGGUCCUGCUUGCAGACUGGAGUUCUGUAAGGAGUUGUGCAAUCUGAGCCUAGCAGUAUUCAAUCUGCAGAAAGCCAGUCUAGAGUAAGGCAGGGCGAGAGAAAGCAGGCUGCUCUCUAUGUUUUUGAGUUCUAAGAACUAAAGCAGUGGUACAUUGCCACUUUUCAGCAAGAGUAUUUUAUGUUUUUAUCUAAGUUCUCUGUUGGUAUGCUAUGAACACAACAUAAAA